Hyaena hyaena (striped hyena) is the source of this 285-nucleotide long non-coding RNA. RefSeq lists it as uncharacterized. The transcript is spliced from 3 exons. The record is from RefSeq and is a predicted model, not a curated record. NCBI's taxonomy places the organism in Eukaryota, Metazoa, Chordata, Mammalia, Carnivora, Hyaenidae.
GAAUCGUUCUGUGUUCCAAACUUUCUCAUGUCCCGCUGGAUGCUUUACAUAUAAACAUAAAAAUGAGAAACAAAUGAGAAGAUAAUAUUAUUCAGCUCAGACCCUUGAGAUACAAAGUGAACCUGAGACAUCAACCUACAUCUUUAUUAACUGCCUACGUUAAUGGAUCUUCUUUCUCACAUGUCUUUAACAUUCGGGAUGGCGCAUGCCUCAGCCAAGCAGAACAGAUGCCUGACCCAUAAGAGCAGACCCCGUGCCACCUGCUGCAGCAGUUAGCAGUUAGUA